Molecule: long non-coding RNA, 267 nt
Filed under: Elaeis guineensis (African oil palm)
Lineage: Eukaryota; Viridiplantae; Streptophyta; Magnoliopsida; Arecales; Arecaceae
Description: long non-coding RNA (EGUI_LNC052674)
Source: RNAcentral
CUUAAUCAAAUUGAGUCAAUUAGCAAUCUAAUUGCUAAUAAAUUUUUCAUAAACAGUAGAGUCUCAGUCCAAUGGGACUCUCCUCCAGAGUCUCAGUCCAGUGGAACUCUUCACUAGAGUCUCAAUCCAAUGAGAUUCUUCAGCCAUCCGAUCAGAUCGAAUCUUCUAAUAUGUAUGACCCUAUAGAUUCAAACUAAGUCAGUAGCAUAGGAAUAAAUUUUUAUAUUAAUCAAUGUAACCAUCUGCAAUGGGAUCCAACAUCCGGAU